AGAAAAGAUGGCAGAGGGAGGGUGAACCCAGGGCCCAUCUGUGGGUAUGGGCUCCAAUUUCCUAAAUUGUUUGUGGUUAUAACCAUGGCUUCCACCUUGUCUGGCACCGGGUCCACAUCUUUUAGGUCAGAGCCCUAGAGAAUAAGAGAAGCUUGCUGCUGGUGAGGGGGUAUGGCCAGGAUUCCUGGAGUCGGAAGAGCUUCUGCUUCACCAUCUUGGGAGAAGAAGGAAGAAAGUGAAAGCGAUGUGGUCCUUCUUAGUCCCAAGGACCCUGACAGAGGACACGCAGAGGAGCAGCUGGCUUGCCCGGAGUCCUCCGACCUUGACCCAAGCAUGCAGGGCCCACCCCACAGCCUCCCUGCUGGGCUCAGCCUGGACGACUUCAUCCCUGGCCACCUCCAGUCCCACAUAGGGUCUUCCUCCCGGGGGACACGGGUGCCCGUGAUCCGGAAUGGUGGCUCCAACACCCUUAAUUUCCAGUUCCACGACCCCGCGCCCAGGACUGUGUGCAAUGGGGGCUACACACCAAGACGAGAUGCUUCCCAGCACCCGG
Molecule: small RNA, 553 nt
Filed under: Pan troglodytes (chimpanzee)
Lineage: Eukaryota; Metazoa; Chordata; Mammalia; Primates; Hominidae
Description: processed transcript
Source: RNAcentral